Molecule: long non-coding RNA, 1402 nt
Organism: Wasmannia auropunctata (little fire ant)
Lineage: Eukaryota; Metazoa; Arthropoda; Insecta; Hymenoptera; Formicidae
Exons: 2
Source: RefSeq, a predicted model, not a curated record
AAUGAAGAAUAAUUAAAAGUCAAUUUAUCUACGAUAAUUAAUCUAUCUACGUUGUUAUAUUACAUCCUUUUAAAAUAAUGGAAGAAAUUUUGAACCACGAGUCAUAAAAAUGUACAUAGUAAACCUAUAAAGUGUCGAUCAGUUAGUGAAUUAGUCAAGUGAAUGAUUUCCAUCACAUGUAAUUAAAAAAGGUUUUGAAUCAGACUUCCGCUUUCGUGGUCGUUUAUCUACGCUCAGAAACCGCGACCUGAGAAUUAUCAGAGAAAAUUAUUUUCGUAUAUGAGGCUGCUGCGUCGGCCGUUUGCUUAAUGCCGUUCACGAACCUGCAAUCGUCGCAUACGUCGACGACACGUUCGUAAAUGAUGAUUGAGCGAUACCGCGAACGCGACGCGAAUCCAAGGACAGUAAUUUAUUGACAGUGAUAGGCGAAUUACCGCGUGCGAUAAUUUAUUGAGAGAGAGAGCUCGUGUCGGACGCGUUUUAUUAUUGGUUUCUUUAUCCCCUUGGUAAGGUGCGAGGCCGUAGAGGCGUUGCAACGUUAAAUAAACAACGUUCUACGAAUUCAUCCAAACUACUCUUUACACGACCCAUCCGUAUCGAUUAGUUUUAUUUUCGUCCAGAUUCAUCCUGAAUCUCAUUUAAAUUCUUCAUGUUUUUAACAUGCGGAACGCGAGCGCGGCGACACAGCGGCUUCUUAAUUGCCACUCCCGCUUGUGCGGGUUCAUUGGAUUCGCAUUCGCGGAUCGCGAGACGACCGCCGCCCCGGUAGACGGAAAAGUCCACCGGGACUCGCGUGUCGCCGCGCUCAGACGUGCGUUUCUCGCGUUUCUUACGCGAGGCACGUAAUUACGUGCAAUCUUCGGAACGACGGCCGUCGUUCCGCUUUCCAUCUGCAUUCGGCGCGCGAGGUAGUAAAGUCCCUCCUUCUCUUUCUCCUCGGCGGACUUUCAUGCUCGCGCGAGUGCUGUUACGAGGGAACAUAACGGACGGUAUAUCGAGUGUCAGGCUGCGAACAGGAUAUCCGCGCUUUUCAGGUGACGCCGCGCCUUUCGACAGAAUGCGAACCCUAUACGCAGCUGCGGCGGCGAAAGGACGGAAAGCAGAGAGGAGAGUCCCGAGAGAGGUAGAAGACCCUAUAAUCGCGAACUUUUGACAUUUCGUCGCGCUUUUUUUUUUAACGCGAUUAUCGCGCGGUCGAGAAAGCGCCGCGACGGAAUGUCACGGUAAGAGGAAUGGGAAAAACAACGUGGAACAAUGUUAUCACGAGCAUUAUCUCUUUCCUCUCUUAUCCAUCGCAAUAACAACGUCCGUCGCGUUCCUUGUCUAACUGUACAACAGGGAUGUCCAGUCUCGACUGUAACAACAGGAAAAUUCCAUAAGUAAAUAAAGAAAAUUAAAAUUG